Molecule: ribosomal RNA, 381 nt
Filed under: uncultured crenarchaeote
Lineage: Archaea; Thermoproteati; Thermoproteota
Description: bacterial SSU rRNA
Rfam family: Archaeal small subunit ribosomal RNA
Source: RNAcentral
UAAAACCAGCACCUCAAGUGGUCAGGAUGAUUAUUGGGCCUAAAGCAUCCGUAGCCGGCUUUGUAAGUUUUCGGUUAAAUCCAUGUGCUCAACGCAUGGGCCGCCGAAAAUACUGCAUAGCUAGGGAGUGGAAGAGGUAGACGGUACUCAGUAGGUAGGGGUAAAAUCCUUUGAUCUAUUGAUGACCACCUGUGGCGAAGGCGGUCUACCAGAACACGUUCGACGGUGAGGGAUGAAAGCUGGGGGAGCAAACCGGAUUAGAUACCCGGGUAGUCCCAGCUGUAAACGAUGCAGACUCGAUGAUGCAUUGGCAUAAUAGCCAUUGCAGUGUCGCAGGGAAGCCGUUAAGUCUGCCGCCUGGGAAGUACGUACGCAAGUAUG